GAUGAACGCUAGCCACAGGCUUAACACAUGCAAGUCGAGGGGUAACAAGAGGAAAGCUUGCUUUCCUUGUUGACGACCGGCGCACGGGUGAGUAACGCGUAUCCAACCUGCCUAUAACUAGGGAAUAACCUUGCGAAAGUAAGACUAAUACCCUAUGAUUUCCUUUGAUGACAUCAGAUUAGGAAUAAAGAUUUAUCGGUUAUAGAUGGGGAUGCGUCUGAUUAGCUUGUUGGCGGGGUAACGGCCCACCAAGGCAACGAUCAGUAGGGGUUCUGAGAGGAAGGUCCCCCACAUUGGAACUGAGACAUGGUCCAAACUCCUACGGGAGGCAGCAGUGAGGAAUAUUGGUCAAUGGGCGGAAGCCUGAACCAGCCAAGUAGCGUGCAGGAUGACGGCCCUAUGGGUUGUAAACUGCUUUUAUACAGGAAUAAAGUUAGCCACGUGUGGUUAUUUGUAGGUACUGUAUGAAUAAGGACCGGCUAAUUCCGUGCCAGCCGCCGCAGUAA
Molecule: ribosomal RNA, 506 nt
Filed under: uncultured bacterium
Lineage: Bacteria
Description: partial 16S ribosomal RNA
Rfam family: Bacterial small subunit ribosomal RNA
Source: RNAcentral